Molecule: long non-coding RNA, 1092 nt
Filed under: Olea europaea subsp. europaea
Lineage: Eukaryota; Viridiplantae; Streptophyta; Magnoliopsida; Lamiales; Oleaceae
Source: RNAcentral
AAAAAAUUCAGCAACCUUGUCCUCUUAGUGGAAGGAAGGAAAUUGUUGAUUAAUGAGAUGGAAUGAUUCCCAGGUAGCUUCCAUAGGAGAUAACCCUUUCCACUUAAUUAGCACUUCCAAGUUUUCUGUUAUUCCCCAUGUCUCAUUCCUCUUCCCCAACAUAGCUUCGGGUUCCACUAGCAACUCCCAAAUUCAGAGGUAACUAUGUGGUAAAGUGAUGUUCCCUCACCGCCUUACGCAAUUGGGAUACAUGGAACACCGAAUGGAUUCGUGUCUCGGGGUAAGCAACCUUCCCAACUUUUGCUAAUACCUUGUAGGGUCCAUAGUAUCGGGGGUAAGUUUCUCACUGGUACAACCAAAGACUUGUGGCGAUAUGGACGCAUCUUCAACUAGAUCAUGUCCCCUGCUGAGAACUCUACUUCCCUUCUAUGCUUGUCAACUGCAUGCUUCAUCUGUUGUUGGGCUCGGUACAAAUGGAUCUUGAGAACGCAGCAGGAGAGGAGGAUCACGCCCAUAUAACAUACAAAAAGGGGUAAGUUGUGCCAAUACGUGGAAGGAAUUGUUGUAUGAGAGUUCAGCCCAAGGUAGGAAUCGGGCCCAUUCUUUUGGUCGAGCUGAAGCAAAGCAGCGCAGGUAGGUUUCAAGCCCUCAAUUAACCACCUCCGUUUGGCCAUCGGUUUGUGGAUGAUAAGCUGAACUAUGCCUUAACUUCGUUCGCUGGAGUCGAGACGGGUCAAUCCAAAAUUUGCUUAGGAACACCUUAUCCCUAUCUGAGAUUAUUGAUUGGGGCAUCCCGUGCAAUCGAACCGCCUCUCUUACAAAAAUGGCUGCUAUAAAAGGAGCCGUGAAAGGAUGUCUGAGGCCUAUAAAAUGAGUAUACUUGCUUAAGCAAUCAACAACCACCAGAAUCGAAUCAAACCCUUCCGACUUAGGCAACCUUUCUAUGAAAUCCAUGGAAAUAUCCUCCCCUACCCUCUCUGGUACGGGAAGUGGCUGCAGGUGCAAGAGUAAAGUAUUUAUGCUAUUGACAAGUUGCGCAGGCCGCCACAUAUGCGCGAAUAUCUCUCUUCAUGCCCACACAAUGGAAUGUCU